CAGCUGUUUCAGAAGAGUUUCA
This 22-nucleotide microRNA is filed under the name Tetraodon nigroviridis (spotted green pufferfish). RNAcentral describes it as "Tni-Novel-3_3p (mature (guide))". The record is from RNAcentral. Lineage: Eukaryota; Metazoa; Chordata; Actinopteri; Tetraodontiformes; Tetraodontidae.